AGGUUCUUCAGAUAGAUCCUGAAGUGACAGAUGAAGAAAUAAAAAAGAGAUUUCGUCAGUUGUCCAUAUUGGUGCAUCCUGACAAAAACCAAGACGAUGCUGACAGAGCACAAAAGGCUUUUGAAGCUGUGGACAAAGCUUACAAGUUGCUACUGGAUCAGGAACAAAAGAAGAGGGCCCUGGAUGUAAUUCAGGCAGGAAAAGAAUACGUGGAACACACUGUGAAAGAACGAAAAAAGCAAUUAAAGAAGGAAGGAAAACCUACAAAUGUAGAGGAGGAUGAUCCGGAGCUGGUAAG
This is a long non-coding RNA of Octodon degus (degu), 298 nucleotides long. RefSeq lists it as uncharacterized. The record is from RefSeq and is a predicted model, not a curated record. The transcript has 4 exons. NCBI's taxonomy places the organism in Eukaryota, Metazoa, Chordata, Mammalia, Rodentia, Octodontidae.